Molecule: ribosomal RNA, 408 nt
Filed under: uncultured Gemmata sp.
Lineage: Bacteria; Pseudomonadati; Planctomycetota; Planctomycetia; Gemmatales; Gemmataceae
Description: bacterial SSU rRNA
Rfam family: Bacterial small subunit ribosomal RNA
Source: RNAcentral
UCGAGGAUCUUCGGCAAUGGGGGCAACCCUGACCGAGCGAUGCCGCGUGCGCGAUGAAGGCCUUCGGGUUGUAAAGCGCGAAAGUGGGGAGAAACGCCGAAAGGCUUGAUCUAUCCACAGUAAGCUCGGGCUAAGUUCGUGCCAGCAGCCGCGGUAAGACGAACCGAGCGAACGUUGUUCGGAAUCACUGGGCUUAAAGGGCGCGUAGGCGGGCUGUCAAGUUUGGGGUGAAAUCCCGCGGCUCAACCGUGGAACUGCCUCAAAUACUGACGGUCUCGAGGGAGGUAGGGGCGAGCGGAACUGAUGGUGGAGCGGUGAAAUGCGUUGAUAUCAUCAGGAACUCCGGUGGCGAAGGCGGCUCGCUGGACCUCUUCUGACGCUGAGGCGCGAAAGCUAGGGGAGCAAACG